This 235-nucleotide non-coding RNA is filed under the name Secundilactobacillus kimchicus. RNAcentral's name for it is "Lactobacillus kimchicus T-box sequence". It matches the Rfam family "T-box leader". From Rfam's summary of the family: Uncharged tRNA acts as the effector for transcription antitermination of genes in the T-box leader family. T-boxes are found upstream of many aminoacyl-tRNA synthetase genes and some amino acid biosynthetic genes usually in Gram-positive bacteria. The anticodon of a specific tRNA base pairs to a specifier sequence within the T-box motif, and the NCCA acceptor tail of the tRNA base pairs to a conserved bulge in the T-box antiterminator hairpin. Lineage: Bacteria; Bacillati; Bacillota; Bacilli; Lactobacillales; Lactobacillaceae. The record is from RNAcentral.
AAUGAAGUGAUGAAGAGAAGAGUAGGCCAAUCAUUAUGGUGCAGAGAGCGCGAGCUACGGUGAAAUCGCGACGUUAAGGGUUGGUUGAAGAUGAUCUUGGAGCUUUUAACCGGUGCAAGCUAGUUAAGCGGUAGAAACCCGUUAUUGUUUUGGACUUUCCAGUUGGAGAGUUUCUGAGGUGGUCAGCGUGAGUUGGCUGCAAAUUCGGGUGGUACCACGUGUCAACGUCCUGUUA